GGACUACCCGGGUAUCUAAUCCUGUUUGAUCCCCACGCUUUCGUGCAUCAGCGUCAGUUGUAUCCCAGUAAGCUGCCUUCGCAAUCGGUGUUCUGUGAUAUAUCUAUGCAUUUCACCGCUACACAUCACAUUCCGCCUACCUUAUUUACACUCAAGUUAUGCAGUUUCAAAGGCAAGCUUAUAGUUAAGCUACAAGAUUUCACCUCUGACUGGCACAACCGCCUACGCACCCUUUAAACCCAAUAAAUCCGGAUAACGCUCGAAUCCUCCGUAUUACCGCGGCUGCUGGCAC
Molecule: ribosomal RNA, 292 nt
Filed under: uncultured Bacteroidota bacterium
Lineage: Bacteria; Pseudomonadati; Bacteroidota
Description: uncultured Bacteroidetes bacterium partial 16S ribosomal RNA
Source: RNAcentral